UUACGGCUAUAUUACGUUGAAACACCAGUUCCCGUAUGGUCGCCGAAGUUAAGCAACGUUGAUACUGGUCACUACCUAGACGGUUGACCGCUUGGGAAUACCAGAUGCUGUAAG
This is a non-coding RNA of Acanthosepion pharaonis, 114 nucleotides long. The record is from the annotation of a GenBank genome assembly. NCBI's taxonomy places the organism in Eukaryota, Metazoa, Mollusca, Cephalopoda, Sepiida, Sepiidae.